RNAcentral lists this ribosomal RNA (494 nucleotides) under Dicranocentrus pallidus. Its description in RNAcentral is "partial 16S ribosomal RNA". Lineage: Eukaryota; Metazoa; Arthropoda; Collembola; Entomobryomorpha; Entomobryidae. The record is from RNAcentral.
UCUCGAGUUUUUACAAAAACACUUUUUAAUAAUGGUAUUAAAAGUAGUACGACCCCCCCGAAGAAUUAAAAAAGGGCUGUGUUUUUUCCGUCGUAAUAAGGCAUCAUCGUCAUUUUUUUAUUUAGUAAGAAGUUGUAAGAAUUAAUAAAAUAAAAUUUUUUUUAAUUAUUUUUUUUUUUGAAAUUAAAUUUUUAGUGAAAAUGCUAAAUUUAUUUAAAAAGACGAUAAGACCCUAUAGAGCUUUAUAAUUAAUUUUAUAUUUAAAUUUGGGGGAAUUUAUUUAUAAUAUUAAUUAUUUAGUUGGGGCAACUAUAGAAUAAAAUUAAUUUCUUUCCAUGAAUUUAAAAAUUAUAAUUUAAUCUUUUAUUAAAAAAAUUAAAAAGUUACCUUAGGAAUAACAGCGUUAUUAUUUUUUAGAGUUCUUAUCGAUAAAAUUUUUUGCGACCUCGAUGUUGAAUUAAGUAAAUCUUUAUAGAGCAGUAUUUAUAUUAGAU